UGCUGUGGCUCAGUUGGUAGAGCGUCGCCUUGGUAAGGCGGAGGUCACCAGUUCAAAUCUGGUCAGC
This 67-nucleotide transfer RNA is filed under the name bovine gut metagenome. It matches the Rfam family "tRNA". From Rfam's summary of the family: Transfer RNA (tRNA) molecules are approximately 80 nucleotides in length. The record is from RNAcentral.